UGGGGUAUAGUUCGGUGGUAGAACUUGCCUCGCAUGCACAAGGUCCUGGGUUCAAUCCCCAGCACUUCAA
Molecule: transfer RNA, 70 nt
Filed under: Marmota marmota marmota (Alpine marmot)
Lineage: Eukaryota; Metazoa; Chordata; Mammalia; Rodentia; Sciuridae
Also listed under: 1 other name
Rfam family: tRNA
About the family: Transfer RNA (tRNA) molecules are approximately 80 nucleotides in length. Their secondary structure includes four short double-helical elements and three loops (D, anti-codon, and T loops).
Source: Rfam by way of RNAcentral